AUUGAACGCUGGCGGCAGGCCUAACACAUGCAAGUCGAGCGGAUGAAGGGAGCUUGCUCCUGGAUUCAGCGGCGGACGGGUGAGUAAUGCCUAGGAAUCUGCCUGGUAUUGGGGGAUAACGUCCGUAAACGGGCGCUAAUACCGCAUACGUCCUGAGGGAGAAAGUGGGGGUUCUUCGGACCUCACGCUAUCAGAUGUGCCUAGGUCGGAUUAGCUAGUUGGUGGGGUAAAGGCCUACCAAGGCGACGAUCCGUAACUGGUCUGAGAGGAUGAUCAGUCACACUGGAACUGAGACACGGUCCAGACUCCUACGGGAGGCAGCAGUGGGGAAUAUUGGACAAUGGGCGAAAGCCUGAUCCAGCCAUGCCGCGUGUGUGAAGAAGGUCUUCGGAUUGUAAAGCACUUUAAGUUGGGAGGAAGGGCAGUAAGUUAAUACCUUGCUGUUUUGACGUUACCAACAGAAUAAGCACCGGCUAACUUCGUG
RNAcentral lists this ribosomal RNA (484 nucleotides) under uncultured bacterium. RNAcentral's name for it is "partial 16S ribosomal RNA". It matches the Rfam family "Bacterial small subunit ribosomal RNA", at positions 30 to 507 of the family's 1533-position model. The record is from RNAcentral.